RNAcentral lists this ribosomal RNA (395 nucleotides) under uncultured bacterium. RNAcentral's name for it is "bacterial SSU rRNA". It matches the Rfam family "Bacterial small subunit ribosomal RNA", at positions 29 to 416 of the family's 1533-position model. The record is from RNAcentral.
AACGAACGCUGGCGGCGUGGUUUAGGCAUGCAAGUCGAGCGAGAAAGUCCUUCGGGACGAGUACAGCGGCGAAAGGGUGAGUAAUAUAUAGGUAACCUACCUCUUGGACUCGGAUAAUUCCUGGAAACGGGUUGUAAUACGAGAUCGUCCUAUUGGGUCGCAUGGCCCGACUGGUAAAUGGUAGCUCUGCUUCUGCCGAGAGAGGGGCCUAUAUCCUAUUAGCUAGUUGGUGAGGUAAUGGCUCACCAAGGCUUUGAUGGGUAGCCGGACUGAGAGGUUGGCCGGUCACACUGGGACUGAGACACUGCCCAGACUCCUACGGGAGGCUGCAGUCGAGAAUCUUCCGCAAUGGGCGAAAGCCUGACGGGGGCGACGCCGCGUGAACGAAGAAGGCC